This 72-nucleotide transfer RNA is filed under the name Papio anubis (olive baboon). It matches the Rfam family "tRNA". Rfam says of the family: Transfer RNA (tRNA) molecules are approximately 80 nucleotides in length. Lineage: Eukaryota; Metazoa; Chordata; Mammalia; Primates; Cercopithecidae. RNAcentral also lists the same sequence under 1 other name. The record is from Rfam by way of RNAcentral.
GGGGGUAUAGUUCAGGGGUAGAGCAUUUCAUUGCAGAUCAAGAGGUCCCUGGUUCAAAUCCAGGUGCCCCCU